UGCGCAGGCGGUCUUGCAAGUCAGAUGUGAAAGCCCCGGGCUUAACCUGGGAAUUGCGUUUGAAACUACAAGGCUAGAGCGCAGCAGAGGGGAGUGGAAUUCCAUGUGUAGCAGUGAAAUGCGUAGAGAUGUGGAAGAACACCGAUGGCGAAGGCAGCUCCCUGGGUUGACACUGACGCUCAUGCACGAAAGCGUGAGGAGCAAACA
RNAcentral lists this ribosomal RNA (207 nucleotides) under uncultured bacterium. RNAcentral's name for it is "partial 16S ribosomal RNA". It matches the Rfam family "Bacterial small subunit ribosomal RNA", at positions 568 to 774 of the family's 1533-position model. The record is from RNAcentral.